Molecule: unclassified non-coding RNA, 355 nt
Filed under: soil metagenome
Description: partial contains 5.8S ribosomal RNA, internal transcribed spacer 2, and large subunit ribosomal RNA
Rfam family: 5.8S ribosomal RNA (bases 1-120)
Source: RNAcentral
GAUGAAGAACGUAGCGAAAUGCGAUAAGUAAUGCGAAUUGCAGAAUUCAGUGAAUCAUCGAAUCUUUGAACGCACAUUGCGCCCGCUAGUAUUCUGGCGGGCAUGCCUGUCUGAGCGUCAUUUCAACCCUCGCCCCCGGCCUUUGCUGGGAGCGGUGUUGGGGAUCGGCCGCCCGUCACUGGGAGGCCGGCCCCGAAAUAGAGUGGCGACCACGCCGUGUGCUCCUCUGCGUAGUAGUAAAUCACCUCGCAGGCGGACAGCGGUGCGGCCUGCCGUAAAACCCCCAACUCUUUCUGGUUGACCUCAGAUCAGGUAGGAAUACCCGCUGAACUUAAGCAUAUCAAUAAGCGGAGGA